RNAcentral lists this long non-coding RNA (1221 nucleotides) under Dromaius novaehollandiae (emu). RNAcentral describes it as "lncRNA (ENSDNVG00000000959.1)". The record is from RNAcentral. Lineage: Eukaryota; Metazoa; Chordata; Aves; Casuariiformes; Dromaiidae.
AUGGCUCCUUCCCACCGCAGUGUUCGGCUGCCCUUGCCGGAGCCGGCAGCAUUGGUUUGCGGCAGUAGAUCCGUCGUUUCUCAAACACCCCGGCUUUGGCCAUCCAUUUGGGCUGCCAAAAACCGGGAAGAGAUGAUGUCCAAUGGUAGGGAAGGCUCAGAGGGGGGACGCGGGCCACUCGGCGAGGUUUCGGGUCUCACUCCCAAGGCUGGGUUUCCGUCGCACCCCUCUCCGCUCAAAACAGCGACGGGAACAAAGAGCCUUGGGAUAACGUGGAAAGAAAAUUUAACAAAACGCUCCAGGUCACUCUCCCAGGUUUCUUUUUCUUUGUCCUUUUUUUUCCCCCCCUCUUCCCUCUUCCGAUCCCGUGCCACCAAACCCAGCCUCUGCUCCCGGCUCCUGCUUGGGGGCAGCGCGGGGUUGCAUCCCGUUUGCCCCAAGCGGCUCUUCAGGCCUGGGGUCCCUUUGCACCCAGCAGGGAUUUUGUUUUCUUUCCGUAUUUUUUCCUUCCUGCCAAGCAGCCAUGAAGUGCCAAAGGGCAAAAUUCAGGAAGAAAAAGCUACUCCGAGCCCAUAUCCCACCCGCCGGGGCUGCUCGAGGGCGGUGCAGAUGCUGCAAACCCUGAGCAUGAAAAUUGUCGUCUUCUCCGAGAAAAUGCAGGUCCGGACACGGGAUGGAAAAGCAGAGCGGAUGCGGAUGGAAAAGCAGAGCAGAUGCCCAGGCACGAGGGCGGCUGGGAUUUACGGCUCCGGCAGGGAUGGACGGGGAUGGGAGCAUCGGGGCCAGCAUGGGAGCGAGCCAAGACAGCCCCAUCCCCGCCGCCUCCCCGUCCCAGGGCCACCUCGAGGUGGAAACUUCACAGGCAAUAAUUUUGAGCCCUUUUUCCCCUUUUUCCCAAGCCAAAAAAAAGAAAAAAACCCAAUCUUUUGCAGGAUGCAGAAGUCCACCCGUGGCCUCGCUCCAAAUCCCCCAUCCCAGGGCGAGAUGCCGCCGUCCCCGCGCGAGGCCGGCGAGCCCAGGGGACAGCACGAGCCCCGGCGGCCUUUUGGCUGCGUUCCUGCUAGAUCGAUUAUUAUCGGGAUUAUUUUCGUUUUUCUCCGCUGCAAAUCCAGCAUCGAGGGAUGCCGCCCUCCUUCUCGGCUCAGCCGCGGCUCCGCGACUAUUUUCUUUUUUUUUCAAUUCGAUUUUUUUUUUUACUAUGAGACCGUGUUUGUAACGUGA